AGAGUUUGAUCAUGGCUCAGAAUCAACGCUGGCGGCGUGCCUAACACAUGCAAGUCGAACGAGAAAGUGGUAGCAAUACCAUGAGUAAAGUGGCGCACGGGUGAGUAACACGUGACUAACCUACCCUGGAGUGGGGGAUAACUGAGGGAAACCUUAGCUAAUACCGCAUAAUACCUACGGGUCAAAGGAGCAAUUCGCUUCAGGAGGGGGUCGCGGCCGAUUAGUUAGUUGGCGGGGUAAUGGUCCACCAAGACAGUGAUCGGUAUCCGGCCUGAGAGGGCGCACGGACACACUGGAACUGAAACACGGUCCAGACUCCUACGGGAGGCAGCAGUGGGGAAUUUUGCGCAAUGGGGGAAACCCUGACGCAGCAACGCCGCGUGGAGGAUGAAGUCCCUCGGGACGUAAACUCCUUUCGAUCGGGACGAUUAUGACGGUACCGGAAGAAGAAGCCCCGGCUAACUUCGUGCCAGCAGCCGCGGUAAUACGAGGGGGGCGAGCGUUGUUCGGAAUUAUUGGGCGUAAAGGGUGCGUAGGCGGUUUGGUAAGUCUUAUGUGAAAUCUAUGGGCUCAACUCAUAGACUGCAUGAGAAACUGCCGGGCUUGAGUAUGGGAGAGGUGAGUGGAAUUCCUGGUGUAGCGGUGAAAUGCGUAGAUAUCAGGAGGAACACCUGUGGCGAAAGCGGCUCACUGGACCAUAACUGACGCUGAUGCACGAAAGCUAGGGGAGCAAACAGGAUUAGAUACCCUAGUAGUCC
This 758-nucleotide ribosomal RNA is filed under the name uncultured bacterium. RNAcentral's name for it is "bacterial SSU rRNA". It matches the Rfam family "Bacterial small subunit ribosomal RNA", at positions 8 to 796 of the family's 1533-position model. The record is from RNAcentral.